UACAGAGGGUGCAAGCGUUAAUCGGAAUUACUGGGCGUAAAGCGCGUGUAGGCGGCUCGGUAAGUCUGCUCUGAAAGCCCGGGGCUCAACCCUGGGAGGCGGGUGGAUACUGCUGAGCUCGAGUCCGGAAGAGGCGAGUGGAAUUCCUGGUGUAGCGGUGAAAUGCGCAGAUAUCAGGAGGAACACCAAUGGCGAAGGCAGCUCGCUGGGACGGUACUGACGCUGAGACGCGAAAGCGUGGGGAGCAAACAGG
RNAcentral lists this ribosomal RNA (253 nucleotides) under uncultured bacterium. Its description in RNAcentral is "partial 16S ribosomal RNA". It matches the Rfam family "Bacterial small subunit ribosomal RNA", at positions 524 to 776 of the family's 1533-position model. The record is from RNAcentral.